CUAGCAUGAGCCUCAAGGCCUCCUAUCAUUCCUUCUGUUCCUAGACCAGUCAUAUAGAUCAAAGGCCUAGGAUGGGGCAAGGGGAGGUGGGCAGUCUUGGUAAAUGUGAAGCAGGAAGAUAGCUCCAAUGGAGAAUGAAGGAAAACACUGCUUGAACAGGCACCAGCGGUGCAUGGAACUUGUAAGAACAGGCAGCCUCCAGUCAAAGACUGGAAGAGUGUCCAGGGGAAGUGUGACCUUGACAGGCAGCCAAGCAGGGGGCAGUCGUCCUCCAUGAAACUAAAGUUUGCAGACCUUUUUGUCAAUUUGUAUUUCAAUAGUCAAGGAUUGAGUCAGCAAUAAAAUCGAUAUAUAUUCAAGAGGGGAGAGGCCAGGGUGAAAGGUCAAGGUCUGUCACUUAUUUGCUAAGCAAUCCUGCCUUUGACUGCAUCUCUUUGAGCUCAGUUUUCCUACUGUAAAAUAAUGAACACUCUCGGGAUUAUCACAUGGCUCAAAACGGUGAGUGGGAGCUGUGAUCCAUAACAACCCACACAUAUAGGUUGCUAUUACUAUUAUUGCAUCAUGACUUCAUGGCAGCAUUUGCAGCCAAGUUCUUGGUUCCUUGCUCUAAAUUUAGAAUAGGCUUGGGAAGAAGACUGGGUAAAUACUAAAACAUUUACUGAGUGCUGCUCUUUGUUGGUAACUGAGCUAGGCAGGGUGACAGUGAGCUGAAACAGCCAGGAUUCAUAAUUUUGGAGUUCCCAGACUGAGAGACAGACACAGUAUCAUGUUACAUUGUGCCAUAUGGUAUAGUGGUACAGCAGGGAGCCCUGUGUGAGCCUGGAGAAGGGACAACCGAGUCUGAAUGAGCCGCAUUUAUAGAAGAAACAGCGGUUGAGCUGACCCUUCCUUCAUCACCCAGAGAAAAGGAGACCGCACGAGAAUCCAGGGCUACAGACCCACAGUUGAGAGUCGGCCUCCACAUCAUUCUUGGGCCUAAUAGGAGGAAGGAGCCUCUUGAUCUCAUGUGCGAGCAAACUUCAUGAGUUCACUAAAGGCCUGGCUGUCAUGGAAACACUGCAUUCAUAUUCCUGCUUAAUCACUUUGCAAUUUACUGUCAACAACAUGCUGUCGCAGGGUGAAGCACAGCCCCCAUUUCCCAGCUAGGAGGUGUCAUGCUUCCCAACUGUACCAUAUGAUGAUGUCUGCUGCUGGCUGACUGCCACACUUCAUUUGGAAAAGGAGAGGCUGGUGGACACUGAGAUCCCUGGAGCCAGACUAGCCCUGUCAGGCAGCUCCGAGGACACCUGAGAGAACCUGCUACCAUGAAAAAAGUGGAGAGCAAACAGACAUGAUUCCUGGUGGCAAGUUCAGGUGUUCAUAUGCAUGUGUGGUGCACAUAUUCAUGUGAACUCAUACAUAUUUGUACCCUGCACACGUAUGUUGACACAUAUGUAAACAUGCAUGCACACAUGCUCGCUACACACACACACACACACACACACACAAGAAAAUCUUAACUAUUCUGUAAACUGAAAGGAAUACAAAUAUUCUAAAGAUA
Mesocricetus auratus (golden hamster) is the source of this 1540-nucleotide long non-coding RNA. RefSeq lists it as uncharacterized. The transcript is spliced from 2 exons. The record is from RefSeq and is a predicted model, not a curated record. NCBI's taxonomy places the organism in Eukaryota, Metazoa, Chordata, Mammalia, Rodentia, Cricetidae.